This 798-nucleotide long non-coding RNA is filed under the name Capsicum annuum. Its description in RNAcentral is "long non-coding RNA (CANN_LNC008895)". Lineage: Eukaryota; Viridiplantae; Streptophyta; Magnoliopsida; Solanales; Solanaceae. The record is from RNAcentral.
GUAACACCCCGUACUUAAUUACGUGCAUUAGUCAUUGUUAUAUGUGUUGGAGUAUAUGUAUUGAUCCUAAGUUAGGUAUAUAUGAGUUUAAGUAUGAGUAUUGAUUAUUUUGAGAUGGUUUCAAGUGUGUAGUUUGAUUAUAGGUGUAUAGGAAUCGACUUUAUUUAUACCGGAAUUUUCCCGUCGAUGGUUCCAUACGAAGGUUAUUGAAUAAGCUUUCCAACGAUAUAAAGAUUUCCAAAAACGGAUAAGUUUCGGAUAUAAGCGAGCUCGUUCGAAACUUUAAAACGGUGGUCGGGAUGUGAACAGUAAAUGUGCAGGAAAACUACUGAGGCCUGCCAGUUUUUUGGGUCAACUUUGAACGAUCAUAACUCCCUAAAUAUAAUGAACUGGGAGAGCUACCACAUAUCAAAAGAAAUAUCUCUGAGUCUUCUUUCCAAUGCAAUUGGUUUCAUCCAAAUCCAACAUCUGAGUAAGGAGUUAUACUCGUUUUACUUCAGCCUCUCAAAACAGAUUUUUAGGGUCAACUUCAAACGAUCAUAACUACUUGUACAGGACGAACUGGGUGGCUUAAUUUAUAUGAAAUGAAAUACCUUUGAAUUAUCUUUCUAACGAUACCAAUUUCACCCAAAUCCGAUAUCGGAGCAAAGAGUUAUGGCCGAUUUACUUUAGCCUAUCAAAACAGUCCACCAUGGACAGAUUCGGAUUUACUUAAAUUUUUAAGGGCAAUAUGGUCAUUUUCCAUCACCUCAUGGACGAAAAUUGGUCAUUAUAUACAUAUAAUUAGUCUCAUAUCCA